Non-coding RNA from Oryctolagus cuniculus (rabbit), 6749 nucleotides. NCBI's taxonomy places the organism in Eukaryota, Metazoa, Chordata, Mammalia, Lagomorpha, Leporidae. The record is from RefSeq and is a predicted model, not a curated record.
UUAAAAAAAAAUCAGUGUAGGGUGAAAAACAAAAACAGAACCCCAUCUCUGAUGUUGGAGUUGACUGCUAUCCUGUUGCAAUGUAACCUCAGUUUUACAGCUAAUUGAUCAGAUUAAAGGUUGAGUCCUUGGUGGCUAAGGCAGGACCAAAGAGCAAGAUAUGUGGGAGAUUCGUUUGGAAUCUCUGUAGGGAGUCAAAUUGUUUUGAAGAUUCAUCUGUUCUUUCUUGCCAGGAAGAAAAUGCAACAUCUGUUGGGAGACAGUGGUGUUAUAUAGAAAGAACAGAGACUUAGAAGAUAGCAGUUUAGUCUUGAUAUCUUCAGUUUUUGAUUUAGCGAUCUUCAGAGAAUUAUUUCCCUCUCUGAGUUCCCAAUUUAUAAAAUGAACCCCCUCACCCUACCUUAACUACUUUACAGCUUUAUUGGUGACCAAAUGAGAUAAUGGUGCAAAAGUAUUUUAUAAUCUGUAACAUACUCUGUAAAUAAAAGGAAAUAUUAAAACUCUGAGGAAAUAACCUUUGUGAAAAAAUGAUGGUAUCAUGGAAAAAGCACACGUUUUGAGUAAGACAAAACAUAGGGCCAAAUUCUAGUUAUGUCACCACAAACUAUACUGCCCUGAGCAACAUUUCUUUGUUUUCAGAUCAGUUUCUCAUCAAUAAAAUGGGGUAACAGUGAUUCUCUACCUAAUGUUGCUGUGAGGAUUAACUGAAACUAUGCAUGUAAAUAAUAAUAAUAAUAAUAAUAGUUUACAGUGAAAUAGCAGGUGCUCAGUACAUGGUAUUUCUUUUAAAAAUGCAAUUAGAAUUCAAUGACUCAGAAUGACAUAGCCUUAUAAAAGAGAAUGGUAGCUACUACUUUUCCUUAUUUCUCAAAGGAUGGGAUGUUGAACAAAGAAGGAAAAAGAGGCAUAGUUAAGUUUAAAAAAAUCACUGAAGAGGAGAUGACAGGUGGCAGGAAGCUGUUGUGGGGAGGAAGUUCUGGAAAGUUUUAGCUAGGAGAUGACAUUUGACUCAGUCUCUUGUGUGUGAGGAGGCACACGAGAGGCUUUCCAUGCGUGAUGGGAGAGACUCAUCCAGACAGGACAGGAUAAAGCAAGCUGCAUCCAGGAAAGGGAGGACAAGGCAUCCAAGCAAAGGAUCCAGCAUAGGCCUGGAGAAAGGAAUAGGGGAAGCUCUGUAGGAAGAGAAGCUUAGUUUGCUUUUCUUGGGAGUUUGCUUUAUUCUGUAGACCAUGCAAAGGGUUGACACAGGGAAGACACAUGAUCACACUUACUUUGCAAAAAAGAACUUUCUGGUAGGAGCACAGAGGGUAUGUGGAAGAGGAGAGCAGUAAUAGUAGCAAAAAUGACACUUAGUAAGUUGUUGAACUAGAAUGGGAGCAAUGAGGAGGAUUGUAGUUAGGGAAGACUAAUGCUGAGCAAUGCUAAUGUUCUGUACCACUAUAAUAUAUUUAGUAGAGUAACUCUGGGGUAAACAUGUCUUUUUCCCAUAUGGACUGCAUUUUUAAAUCAUUAUUCUGAUCAAUGAAGGAGAAUAUAGGAGGCUUUAAAUGGCUUCCUAAGCAGACCAAUUUUUAAGAUGGUUGACUAGGGAGAGCAGUUGAUAAUAGAUUCCAUUUUACCAACUUCUGUCAGUGUUUCUUCUUUUGGUAAUCUCUUUUGAAGUAAUAGAAUGUGACUCCAAUAUGUUCAACCAUUCUAAAAUAAAGUCAAAUGCUUUUAUUUUACUGUAAAACUUAAAGCAAUCAGGCAUCAUUAGUAAUACCGAAAGGGAUUAUAUUAAAGUGUAAUAUUAAAAUGCUAACAUCUGUUCCGGCUUCAGGGUUUAUUGAACUUUUCAAACUUUUAGAUGAAGAAAUAUCAAAUUUAAAGUGAAAGUACCCUGAAUUAAUAAAAUAACUUUUUCCUCCUGACAAUGCUAGAAGAGAAUGGGAGAUAUAAUCCAUCUUUAGGGAGAGGUAAAAAGAGAAGAGUUAAACAUAUUUUCUGUACUGAGUAUAUGGAGAGUUAGUUCUAUUUAGGGUUGGUCUAUGCCUCAUAAGUUAAUUUUGUUUUAGAGGAAAUAAUUUUGCCCCCUAAACUCUUAGGUUCCAUUUUCCAAGUUUUCAGCACCCCAGUGCAAAACAGAUGGUCACUGUAAUGGAGGCAGUGUGAAAUGGGAGGGUGAUUACUCUGACCUCACCUUUCUCUCAUCCAUUUCACCUCUCAUAGUUUUCUGGGAAUACCUCCAUUGGCCAAAUCCAAGUGGAAGUCAGUAUGCAAGGGAGCCUACUGAUGAUGUUCAUGAUGAUCAACCUACCUGAGCAUAAGCAUGGUGAAGAAGUAUGGCUUGUCUUGUGAAGUCCACACGGAUGGGAUGGUGGGGUGAUGGUGUUCUUUGACAAGAAGCACCAGAGACAGUUUUGGUGAAGAUGUCCGUUUAUUAACAGUUAGGCACAAGCUUUUAUAGGGCAGACAAAGGGGAGUAGCCAGUUUAAGGUAGCAACACUAAUUCUAUAGGAUAAAGCUGAUACUGGUACCUCUACACUUCUCCAAUCAGCUUGAAGGUCAUGUAGCCUAGGUAUCCUUCCAGGUAGUUUUAUGGGUCUUGGCCACACCUAGGAGCUGUUUACCUAGUUGACAAUUACAAGGCCCCUCAACAGGAAGCUGUGGUUGGGAAAUGUGCCUGGGGUCCCUGCCGCCUGCCAGAGGUCAGGUCAUAUGUGGGUCUCAAUGUGCCUAGUCCUCAACCAGGGUUUUUCUCAGGGGGCAUGGUGUGCCAUGCCCUCUUGACCUCAUGCAUAGGAUAGGCAAGCAGUCUUCCAGCCAGGCACAGGAUCACCCACAAAGAAGAGCAGACUGCUCUACAGAGGCAAAUGUAGAUGUUCCCAUGUAUGAGUCACAAGGUAUUUUAACCAGAUGUGCUCAGCAGAUAGUUGAUACAACAAAGAUUUGGGGUCUUAAGUCAGCCUGUAUUUUUUUAAAGAUUUAUUUUAUUUAUUUGAAAGACAGAGUUACAGAGAGAGGUAGAGAGAGAGAGAGAGAGGUCUUCCAUCCGCUGGUUCACUCCCCAGAUGGCAGCGACAGCCAGAGCUGUGCCGAUCUGAAGCGAGGAGCCAGGAGCCAGGAGCUUCUUCCAGGUCUCCCAUGUGGGUGCAGGGGCCCAAGGACUUGGGCCAUCUUCUACUGCUUUCCCAGGCCAUAGCACAGAGCUGGAUUGGAAGAGGAGCAGCCAGGACUAAAAGUGGUGCCCAUAUGGGAUGCCGGCAUUUCAGGCCAGGGUAUUAACACACUGAGCCACAGCGCCAGCCCCCAGCCUGUAUUUUUUAUUUUUGUCAUUCUAUUUCAUGAGCCAGGAGAAAUUUUUCUCAUCUAUGAAGUUUUAAAUAAAGUCCAUUUUAUAUUGUUAGAGUUUUUGAUUCAUCAAUUUUGAUUUUCCCACCUUAAAGAAAUCAUUGUCCUCUGUAUAGUGGGAUAAAAAAUAUCUGCCUGAUAGGAUUGUUUAAAGUACUGAACCAAAUAAUAAUGGGAAAGAACUUAGUACAGUGUUUGGCACAGAUAUUACACAGGGAAAAUUAGAUUAAAAAUUUCCUUCAGUACAAACAAGUCCAGUUCUUCAAAAGGAUCCUGAAAUUUUACUUCCUGAAUGGCCUCUCCCAUAGACAAAAUAAAUUGGUAUAGUUCACUGAUAACUCUUAGGAUUUUUGAGACUAAGCAAUAGAGGUCUUUCUGGUUGUUAGAGUCUAGUAAUUCAUUUCAGUUUAUUCUACAUUGUUUCAUCAUCAUUCCUUAGAGCCAUUAGAAUCUUCGGUUUGGACAUCUAUACCUUAAGUUUUUUCAUAGCCAAGAGCUGAAGGAAAAACAGAGCUAAUCUGUAUUUUCUCCACUAGGAUACAUGCUUCACAAAAGCAGAUCUAGUGGAUGUGACAUCGAGGACCUACGGGGAGAGCAAGGUCACCCACCGCGUGGAAGCCAAGCCACGGGAGCCGAGCUGCUGCAGAAGCCGAGCCGCAGAGUCUGCACAUCAGCGCUGGAAGGGGAGGUGAGACAAAAACCCCAGUAACCCAAGACAUUGGCGGGGAAAGGCAGAAAGAGCCUACAGGGAACGAGGCCUGAAGCCCCACUGGGGAAAGUUCACCAGGCUGACUGGAGGAGAGAAAAAAAAUGAAUAAAUAAGGGGAACCGGCAUGGACAUUAGCCUCUCUCUCCACUCACCUUACAAAGCCAAGCAAGACAAAGAGCAGGUGCCAUUUUACGUAUGUAAAGUAGCGCCCGCCAUUAGCCAAGCAGAAAAACCUGACUCUGGUGGGGAGAAAUAACAGGAGGUUAACACCUAGUGAAAGUGUGGAGCUAAAGAACUGAGACUGUGAAAAUCUGAGGGGGAGCCAAGAGAACUCACCGAGUACACAAACUUGGUAACCUGGGCAACCUGGUGAGAGACUGCAGAAAAAUUUGAGACCACACUGAAGGCUGCAUAAACUCUUUGUGUGGUCCCAGGGGUAAGCAGACGAAUACCCACAGGGGCCAGAUUUCAUACAUCAACUACCCUCAAUUCCACUCAGCUGUGUGGAAUUACUUCCCAACUGAGUCAAAAAAAAAAAAAAAAAAGAGAGAGAGAGAGAGAGAGAGCGAGAGAACAAUCUGGGUGAAUCACCUUUGGCACACCCUUAACCCUGAAGAACCAAACAGAGCUCUCUGGCCACACCCAUCACAGCCUCUAAGGAUCCAUCAAAAGCAGACAGUCCACUUAAUCUAGAGUCACAGUAUAACGAGAAAAAACACCACACCAAAGAAACCAAAGAAUAUCUCCAAUAUGCCAAACAACAAAUGCAGAAACUGAGGUAACAAGAACAAGGAAGACACUAUGACGCCCCCAAAUGAAAUAGACACCCCAAUUCAAGAUUAUGAAGAUGAUGAGAUAGAAGUAAUGCAAGAAGUGGAUCUCAAAAAAUUGAUAAGAACAUUAAGAAGUUCUCAAAAACAAAUUCUUGAACCACAGAAAUCCUUAAUGGACAAGAUAGAAAAUCUCUCUCGUGAAAAUGAAAUAUUAAGGAGGAAUCAAAAUGAAAUGAAACAACUAGUAGAACAUGAAACUGUGAUAGUGACAAGAAAUCAUAAUGAAAUUAAGAACUCAAUAGAUCAAAUGACAAACAUAUUAGAGAGCCUUAAAAACAGAAUGGGUGAAGCAGAAGAGAGAAUAUCGGACUUAGAAGACAGAGAACAGGAAAAUAUACAGUCAAACCAAAGAAAAGAAGAGGAAAUUAGAAAUCUAAAAAAUAUUGUCGGGAAUCUUCAGGAUACUAUUAAAAAACCCAACAUUCGGGUUCUAGGAGUUCCUGAAGGCAUGGAGAGGGAGAAAGGAUUAGAAUGCCUUUUAGUGAGAUACUAGCAGAAAAUUUCCCAGGUUUGGAGAAGGACAGAGACAUCCUAGUACAGGAAGCUCAUAGAACCCCUAAUAAACAUGUCCAAUAGAGAUCCUCACCAUGACACGUUGUAAUUAAACUCACCACAGUGAAACAAAGAAAAAUCCUAAAAUGUGCAAGAGAGAAACGUCAGAUUACUCUCAGAGGAUCUCCAAUCAGACUUACAGCUGACUUCUCAUCAGAAACCCUACAAGCUAGGAGGGAAUGGGGAGAUAUAGCCCAGGUACUAAGAGAGAAAAACUGCCAGCCCAGAAUAUUAUAUCCUGCAAAGCUCUCAUUUGUGAAUAAAGUGAAAUAAAUACCUUUCACAGCAAACAGAAAUUGAAAGCAUUUGUCGCCACUCGUCCAGCCCUGCAAAAGAAGCUUAAAGAUGUGUUACACACAGAAACACAGAAACACGGUCAUCAAUAUGAAAGAAGGUAAACAAAGGAAACCUCACAGCAAAAGAUCACAGGAAGUUCAAAACAUAUAUUAGAAAAUAUCUUCGGCAAAUGGCAUGGCAAAGUUACUCCUUACCAAUAGUCACAUUGAAUGUUAAUGGCCUGAACUGUCCAGUUAAAAGACACUGAUUGGCUGACUGGGUUAAGGAACAAAACCCAUCUAUUUGCUGCUUACGAGAAACACAUCUUUCCAACAAAGAUGCAUACAGACUGAAAAUGAAAGGCUGGAAAAAGAUAUACCAUGCCAACAGAAAUGAGAAAAGAGUGGGCAUAGCCAUCUUAAUAUCGGACAACAUAAACUUUAUCACAAAAACUGUUAGGAGAGACAAAGAGGGGCACUAUAUAAUGAUUAAGGGAUCAAUUCAACAGGAAGAUAUAACAAUUAUCAAUGUAUAUGCACCUAAUUACAGGGCACUGGUUUAUUUAAAAGAUUUGUUAAGGGACUUAAAGUGAGACUUAGACCCCAAUACAAUAGUACUUGGGGACUUCAAUACUCCACUCUCAGAAACAGACAGAUCUACAGGACAGAAGAUCAACAAGGAGACAGUAGAUUUAAAUGACACUAUAGCCCAAAUGGAUCUAACAGAUAUCUACAGAACUUUUCAUCCUACACAUAAAGAAUUUACAUUCUUCUCAGCAGUACAUGGAACCUUCUCUAGGGUUGACCACAUACUAGGCCAUAAAGCAAGUCUCAGCAAAUUCAAAAGAAUUAGAAUCAUACCCUGCAGCUUCUCAGACCAUAAAGGAAUGAAGUUGGAAAUUAGCAAUUCAGGAAUCCCUAGAGCAUAUGCAAACACAUGGAGAUUGAACAACAUGCUCCUAAAUGAACAAUGGGUCAUAGAAGAAAUUGAAAGAGAAAUCAAAAAUUUUCUGGAAGUAAAUGAGGAUAACAGCACAACAUACCAAAACU